Molecule: transfer RNA, 72 nt
Filed under: Muntingia calabura
Lineage: Eukaryota; Viridiplantae; Streptophyta; Magnoliopsida; Malvales; Muntingiaceae
Also listed under: 1 other name
Description: tRNA-Gln
Rfam family: tRNA
About the family: Transfer RNA (tRNA) molecules are approximately 80 nucleotides in length. Their secondary structure includes four short double-helical elements and three loops (D, anti-codon, and T loops).
Source: RNAcentral
UGGGGCGUAGCCAAGUGGUAAGGCAACGGGUUUUGGUCCCGCUAUGCGGAGGUUCGAAUCCUUCCGUCCCAG